ACAGCAGCUGUUGUUUGCUAGUUUUUCUCUUCUCUCUCGGUCUCUUGCAGUUGGAUUUUGAUAAGGUAUAUGACAUAGAUUUGUGUGUGUCAGCGGACAGAAUGGCACGGAUAAGUGUUUCUGCUUAUGAACAAUGCUGGGCUAGAACCGCAGAGGUCAAAAUAUAUAUGUUGUGUGCUUCAAAACACAAUUCUAUAUUGUUUUGAAAACAGAAUGAAAGAGUCUGUUAAGUUUUUGUUGUCCUGGUUAAAAAAAUUACUACUGGUGGUCUGAAAUGGGGACUGUGGGUCUUGUUGGUUUUUGGGGUUUUUCUUUUCUUUUUUUUUUUGGUGUGAAAGUCUGAAUGUUAAAGGAGAUGGUGUCGCUCUCUAGGAAAGAAUUGAGACAUUGAUGAUGCCAAAAUGCUGCUGAUAGAGAAAGGAGAAUGAAGACAGUUUUGUUCAGCGAUAAAAUCUAUAUUCCCUUAACGGGAAGAAGUGUUAGUGCAACACAACCCAUACAAUUAAGCAUUGUGAAAAGUUUGUUCCUUGUCACACAAGUAAGUGCUCACAUAUAUUUUCAUUUACUAUAUCAUCUCAUGAUUUAUUCGUUUACUUAAUGUGUAACUUGAUCAACUAAUAAACAUGAAACUAUUCUUCAUGCCGUCAUCAUGUUUUCUUUAUACGUCUCAUAUGUUAAUGAAGUUCAUUAAUCAAUACUAUUAAAAGGGAAAAGGGAAGGAGUUUAAAUAAAUCUACUUAAAAAGUUGUUUGAACCUUUCUAUUUUUUAUUUUU
Molecule: long non-coding RNA, 774 nt
Filed under: Brassica rapa (field mustard)
Lineage: Eukaryota; Viridiplantae; Streptophyta; Magnoliopsida; Brassicales; Brassicaceae
Description: long non-coding RNA (BRAP_LNC004091)
Source: RNAcentral